This 341-nucleotide ribosomal RNA is filed under the name Escherichia coli. Its description in RNAcentral is "partial 23S ribosomal RNA". It matches the Rfam family "Bacterial large subunit ribosomal RNA", at positions 144 to 523 of the family's 2925-position model. Lineage: Bacteria; Pseudomonadati; Pseudomonadota; Gammaproteobacteria; Enterobacterales; Enterobacteriaceae. The record is from RNAcentral.
CACACUAUCAUUAACUGAAUCCAUAGGUUAAUGAGGCGAACCGGGGGAACUGAAACAUCUAAGUACCCCGAGGAAAAGAAAUCAACCGAGAUUCCCCCAGUAGCGGCGAGCGAACGGGGAGGAGCCCAGAGCCUGAAUCAGUGUGUGUGUUAGUGGAAGCGUCUGGAAAGGCGCGCGAUACAGGGUGACAGCCCCGUACACAAAAAUGCACAUACUGUGAGCUCGAUGAGUAGGGCGGGACACGUGGUAUCCUGUCUGAAUAUGGGGGGACCAUCCUCCAAGGCUAAAUACUCCUGACUGACCGAUAGUGAACCAGUACCGUGAGGGAAAGGCGAAAAGAA